ACGGUUACCUUGUUACGACUUAGCCCCAGUCACCAGUUUCGCCCUAGGCCGGUCCUCGCGGUCCCGGACUUCAGGCGCCCCCGGCUCCCAUGGCUUGACGGGCGGUGUGUACAAGGCCCGGGAACGUAUUCACCGCGCCAUGGCUGAUGCGCGAUUACUAGCGAAUCCAACUUCGUGGAGUCGGGUUGCAGACUCCAGUCCGAACUGGGACAGGUUUUCGAGAUCGGCAUCCGGUCGCCCGGUAGCACCCCUCUGUACCUGCCAUUGUAACACGUGUGUCGCCCCGGACGUAAGGGCCGUGCUGAUUUGACGUCAUCCCCCCCUUCCUCGCACCUUGCGGUGGCAGUCCCUCCAGAGUCCCCAGCUUAACCUGAUGGCAACUGAAGGCAAGGGUUGCGCUCGUUAUGGCACUUAAGCCGACACUUCACAGCACGAGCUGACGACAACCAUGCAGCACCUCGACAACUGUCCGAAGACUAUCCCAUCUCUGGAAUAUUCAGCUGCCGUUCGAGCCCGGGUAAGGUUCCUCGCGUAUCAUCGAAUUAAACCACAUGUUCCUCCGCUUGUGCGGGCCCCCGUCAAUUCCUUUGAGUUUCAGCCUUGCGGCC
Molecule: ribosomal RNA, 608 nt
Filed under: uncultured bacterium
Lineage: Bacteria
Description: partial 16S ribosomal RNA
Source: RNAcentral